This 65-nucleotide transfer RNA is filed under the name Membranipora grandicella. RNAcentral describes it as "tRNA-Ala". Lineage: Eukaryota; Metazoa; Bryozoa; Gymnolaemata; Cheilostomatida; Membraniporidae. The record is from RNAcentral.
GAAGAUAUACUUUAAAAAAAAGAUUUCAUUUGCAAUGAAAAAUUAUGGAUUAACCAUUAUCAUCA